RNAcentral lists this ribosomal RNA (468 nucleotides) under uncultured bacterium. Its description in RNAcentral is "partial 16S ribosomal RNA". It matches the Rfam family "Bacterial small subunit ribosomal RNA", at positions 28 to 507 of the family's 1533-position model. The record is from RNAcentral.
GACGAACGCUGGCGGCGUGCUUAACACAUGCAAGUCGAACGGAAAGGCCCUGCUUUUGUGGGGUGCUCGAGUGGCGAACGGGUGAGUAACACGUGAGUAACCUGCCCUUGACUUUGGGGUAACUUCAGGAAACUGGGGCUAAUACCGGAUAGGAGCUCCUGCUGCAUGGUGGGGGUUGGAAAGUUUCGGCGGGUGGGGAUGGACUCGCGGCUUAUCAGCUUGUUGGUGGGGUAGUGGCUUACCAAGGCUGUGACGGGUAGCCGGCCUGAGAGGGUGACCGGCCACAUUGGGACUGAGAUACGGCCCAGACUCCUACGGGAGGCAGCAGUGGGGAAUAUUGCACAAUGGGCGGAAGCCUGAUGCAGCAACGCCGCGUGCGGGAUGACGGCCUUCGGGUUGUAAACCGCUUUCGCCUGUGACGAAGCGUGAGUGACGGUAAUGGGUAAAGAAGCACCGGCUAACUACGUG